CCUACGGGUGGCUGCAGUGGGGAAUUUUGGACAAUGGGCGCAAGCCUGAUCCAGCCAUUCCGCGUGAGUGAAGAAGGCCUUCGGGUUGUAAAGCUCUUUCGCAAGGGAAGAAAACUUAUCCUCUAACAUAGGAUGAGGUUGACGGUACCUUGAUAAGAAGCACCGGCUAACUACGUGCCAGCAGCCGCGGUAAUACGUAGGGUAUUAGCGUGAAUCGGGCGUGCGGAGCGUGUAUCGUGCGCAGGAUGUUAAAGCCCCGAGCUCAACUUGGGAACUGCGUUUGAAACUACAAGACUAGAAUAGGGCAGAGGGGGGUAGAAUUCCACGUGUAGCAGUGAAAUGCGUAGAGAUGUGGAGGAAUAUCAAUGGCGAAGGCAGCUCCCUGGGAUCAUAUUGACGCUCAUGCACGAAAGCGUGGGGAGCAAACAGGAUUAGAUACCCCGGUAGUC
This 449-nucleotide ribosomal RNA is filed under the name uncultured bacterium. RNAcentral's name for it is "partial 16S ribosomal RNA". It matches the Rfam family "Bacterial small subunit ribosomal RNA", at positions 338 to 795 of the family's 1533-position model. The record is from RNAcentral.